This is a long non-coding RNA of Folsomia candida, 598 nucleotides long. RefSeq lists it as uncharacterized. The transcript is spliced from 2 exons. NCBI's taxonomy places the organism in Eukaryota, Metazoa, Arthropoda, Collembola, Entomobryomorpha, Isotomidae. The record is from RefSeq and is a predicted model, not a curated record.
UAACGCUUUUAUUCCUCACGUGUCAAAAUGAUAAUAUAGGUCACGCCAGGGAGGUAAUGGGUCAAAAUUUCCCGAAAAUCGAUCAUAUGCUUUACGUAACGUUUUUCCGGAUACACAAGAAAAGCAGGCUUGACUACUAAUUUGGGACAGAGACGAAAUUGGGCUCUCUUACUUAAAUUUCACAUACAAGUAGCUCGUUGAUUGGCAAAAGGUGAACAAACGGCUCUAAUUUUUAUUGCGACUGUUCUUCUCUUUCAUGAUAAUACAUGUAAUAAUGUAAAGCAUAUCUUGACAAGUUUCUUUCUACCAUGAAAAUUUAAAUUAGUCAAAUUAUAAUGUACUUUUAGCCGGAUAAUUUAGAUAUCGUUGAGUUCGAUUCGAUUAUGAUCAUUUCAUAUUUGUUAAGUAUUUUUAGAUCCUAUGUAUGUAUAUUGCUCUUUCUUUCAUAAUAUAACAACUUUUUGCCGUUCUACAGCAAAGCAGAGAAGCAUGAUAUUCAUAUAUUUAGAAACUUUUUACCUACUAAUCUAACAAUACUUUUAUCCUGUCGUGAUAUUAAAGCUAAUACGUAAACGUUAACCAUAUGGUAAAGCUAUCG